UACAGAGGGUGCGAGCGUUAAUCGGAAUUACUGGGCGUAAAGCGCACGUAGGUGGCGACGUAAGUCGGGUGUGAAAUCCCCGGGCUCACCCUGGGAAUUGCAUUCGAGACUGCAUUGCUGGAGUACGGAAGAGGAGGGCGGAAUUCCCGGUGUAGCGGUGAAAUGCGUAGAUAUCGGGAGGAACAUCAGUGGCGACGGCGGUCCUCUGGUCCAGUACUGACACUCAAGUGCGAAAGCGUGGGGAGCAAACAGG
This 253-nucleotide ribosomal RNA is filed under the name uncultured bacterium. RNAcentral describes it as "partial 16S ribosomal RNA". It matches the Rfam family "Bacterial small subunit ribosomal RNA", at positions 524 to 776 of the family's 1533-position model. The record is from RNAcentral.